Molecule: non-coding RNA, 315 nt
Organism: Pelobates cultripes (western spadefoot toad)
Lineage: Eukaryota; Metazoa; Chordata; Amphibia; Anura; Pelobatidae
Source: the annotation of a GenBank genome assembly
CUCCUGUGUGCCUCGGAGAGGUGAUAUUGUUAAUUUCAAAAGGGGUUAGUUUGAUUGUAUGGGAGGUCAGAGCAUAUUGCCUCUUAGAUAAGGAGUCCUUUGAUAUGAACAAGCCUUGUGUUCCAAUGUCAUAUCCAAAAGAGACAUUAAGUCCUACCCAUAGAUUAAUACUCAAGCCUCAUUUUUAUCAUAUUUAGGAUGGGACAAGCACAAUCUUCUAAUCAAGCCUAAACAUGAUGUGUGGAACAGGGGGACCACACAGAUAGGGAGAUCCCCAGCAAUAUGACCUGAAAACAAUAAGUAGGCAAGCGAGUG